AACUUUCAACAACGGAUCUCUUGGCUCUCGCAUCGAUGAAGAACGCA
This 47-nucleotide ribosomal RNA is filed under the name uncultured fungus. Its description in RNAcentral is "partial 5.8S ribosomal RNA". It matches the Rfam family "5.8S ribosomal RNA", at positions 1 to 47 of the family's 154-position model. From Rfam's summary of the family: 5.8S ribosomal RNA (5.8S rRNA) is a component of the large subunit of the eukaryotic ribosome. Lineage: Eukaryota; Fungi. The record is from RNAcentral.